AUGUACAAUUUGCUUCCUUUUUGGUGCCUCAAAAUGGCUCAAGGAGAUGCGGAGGGGAGCGGGAGCGGCGGGCGGAGGAGGCAUCAAUCAAGAACCUGGCUGUGGUUUCGCCGGCCGCGGCGUGCUGCUCUCGCCGCCGGCCUGCGCGGGGCCCAUCUCCAGGUCGCGGCCUGCCUGCGGCGGCGGCGGUGGUGGUGGCGGGGGCGUCCCGCCGCCGCAGCCGAGCAGCCGCCGGAGGGCCGCUACUCUCGCCGCCUCGACCACGGCCGCGACGCCGGCGAUCGGUCCCUGGGAUGGCUGCGGUGCCGCCGGCUGCCGUGGUGUGCCGCCGGUUGCCACGGCGUCCUGGGAGCCGAAGAAGAGCACAUUGGUGGGGAAGAUGGGCGACUCCGGAUCGGCCUCGGGGGGCUGCACGGUGGGCGCCUCGUCGGCGACGGCGCACCGGCAGAGCGGGCAGGUGGAGUGCGACCGGAGCCACAUGUCGACGCACUCGACGUGGAACGAGUGGCCGCACCGCGGCAGCAGGCGCGCGGCCUCCCCGGCGGCGAGCUCCGUGAUGCAGACGGCGCAGUCGGCCGCGGGGUCCCCCUGGGCGACCUCCCUCCGCGGCAGCGCCACGAUGGCCGUCUCGUCCAGGCCCCGCCCGUGGCAGGGGCCCCCGAAGACGAACCGCGGCCCCCGGCCCCUGCCGUCCGCUCCCCCGCCGCCGCCGCCGCCGCCGAUUGCGGGCGCGGCGCCCCGGUAGCGCUUGGCGCAGAGGAAGAGGUAGAAGCAGACGACGAAGGUGAUGAAGAUGGCGGCCGCCGCGGCCAGCAUGGUCGCCGCCGCCGCCACGGAUGUCCCCGUCACCGACAUCGAUCCGCCCUCGCCCCCCAAAUCGCGCCCUCUUCUCCUCCUCCCGACGACCCUCUCUUCCCCAGCCGCGCGUUCUCGGCUGGGAAUUGUGGGGGUUUGCUUGCAAGAGAUUUGUGUGUGUGUGUGUGUGUGUGA
This 990-nucleotide ribosomal RNA is filed under the name Triticum aestivum (bread wheat). RNAcentral's name for it is "partial small subunit ribosomal RNA". The record is from RNAcentral. Lineage: Eukaryota; Viridiplantae; Streptophyta; Magnoliopsida; Poales; Poaceae.